Molecule: ribosomal RNA, 416 nt
Filed under: Salmonella enterica subsp. enterica serovar Oranienburg
Lineage: Bacteria; Pseudomonadati; Pseudomonadota; Gammaproteobacteria; Enterobacterales; Enterobacteriaceae
Also listed under: 3 other names
Description: bacterial SSU rRNA
Rfam family: Bacterial small subunit ribosomal RNA
Source: RNAcentral
GAAGAGUUUGAUCAUGGCUCAGAUUGAACGCUGGCGGCAGGCCUAACACAUGCAAGUCGAACGGUAACAGGAAGCAGCUUGCUGCUUUGCUGACGAGUGGCGGACGGGUGAGUAAUGUCUGGGAAACUGCCUGAUGGAGGGGGAUAACUACUGGAAACGGUGGCUAAUACCGCAUAACGUCGCAAGACCAAAGAGGGGGACCUUCGGGCCUCUUGCCAUCAGAUGUGCCCAGAUGGGAUUAGCUUGUUGGUGAGGUAACGGCUCACCAAGGCGACGAUCCCUAGCUGGUCUGAGAGGAUGACCAGCCACACUGGAACUGAGACACGGUCCAGACUCCUACGGGAGGCAGCAGUGGGGAAUAUUGCACAAUGGGCGCAAGCCUGAUGCAGCCAUGCCGCGUGUAUGAAGAAGGCCUU